AACGAACGCUGGCGGCGUGCCUAACACAUGCAAGUCGAACGAGAAAGGGGCUUCGGCUCCGAGUAAAGUGGCGCACGGGUGAGUAACACGUAGGUAACCUGCCUCUAAGAUUGGGAUAACUUGUCGAAAGAUGAGCUAAUACCAAAUAAGACCACGGUUUCCUCGGGGGACGAGGGGUACAAAGGUAGCCUCUAUUUAUAAGCUAUCGCUGAGAGAUGGGCCUGCGUACCAUUAGCUAGUUGGNGAGGUAACGGCUCACCAAGGCAAAGAUGGUUAGCUGGUCUGAGAGGAUGAUCAGCCACACUGGAACUGAGACACGGUCCAGACUCCGUACGGGAGGCAGC
This 344-nucleotide ribosomal RNA is filed under the name uncultured bacterium. RNAcentral's name for it is "bacterial SSU rRNA". It matches the Rfam family "Bacterial small subunit ribosomal RNA", at positions 29 to 352 of the family's 1533-position model. The record is from RNAcentral.